CCUACGGGUGGCAGCAGUGGGGAAUAUUGCACAAUGGGCGCAAGCCUGAUGCAGCCAUGCCGCGUGUGUGAAGAAGGGCUUCGGGUUGUAAAGCACUUUCAGCGGGGAGGAAGGCGUUAAGGUUAAUAACCUUGGCGAUUGACGUUACCCGCAGAAGAAGCACCGGCUAACUCCGUGCCAGCAGCCGCGGUAAUACGGAGGGUGCAAGCGUUAAUCGGAAUUACUGGGCGUAAAGCGCACGCAGGCGGUCUGUCAAGUCGGAUGUGAAAUCCCCGGGCUCAACCUGGGAACUGCAUUCGAAACUGGCAGGCUAGAGUCUUGUAGAGGGGGGUAGAAUUCCAGGUGUAGCGGUGAAAUGCGUAGAGAUCUGGAGGAAUACCGGUGGCGAAGGCGGCCCCCUGGACAAAGACUGACGCUCAGGUGCGAAAGCGUGGGGAGCAAACAGGAUUAGAUACCCUAGUAGUC
Molecule: ribosomal RNA, 465 nt
Filed under: uncultured Klebsiella sp.
Lineage: Bacteria; Pseudomonadati; Pseudomonadota; Gammaproteobacteria; Enterobacterales; Enterobacteriaceae
Description: bacterial SSU rRNA
Rfam family: Bacterial small subunit ribosomal RNA
Source: RNAcentral